RNAcentral lists this microRNA precursor (96 nucleotides) under Nicotiana sylvestris (wood tobacco). Its description in RNAcentral is "MIR6152 microRNA precursor family". It matches the Rfam family "MIR6152 microRNA precursor family". RNAcentral also lists the same sequence under 1 other name. Lineage: Eukaryota; Viridiplantae; Streptophyta; Magnoliopsida; Solanales; Solanaceae. The record is from Rfam by way of RNAcentral.
UGGACAGAUUAUUGUAUUCGACCGUAUUUACGGCUUGAAAUAGGGGAUUACACAAUUUUUAAAAGGAAAGUAAAUCAAUUAACAUAAUAGACUCCU